AAUCACGUAGUCUAAAUGGAAAGACGCCAGCCUUUAUGGAUAGAAAAUGUGGGUUCAAAUCCCACCGUGAUUG
This is a non-coding RNA of Ilex paraguariensis (yerba mate), 73 nucleotides long. The record is from the annotation of a GenBank genome assembly. Lineage: Eukaryota; Viridiplantae; Streptophyta; Magnoliopsida; Aquifoliales; Aquifoliaceae.